UAGAAUGUAGUGUAGUGGUAGCACGGAGAGCUUUGAAUUCUCAGGUCUAGGUUCAAGUCCUAGGGUUCUAG
RNAcentral lists this transfer RNA (71 nucleotides) under Elephantulus rupestris (western rock elephant shrew). Its description in RNAcentral is "tRNA-Gln". It matches the Rfam family "tRNA". From Rfam's summary of the family: Transfer RNA (tRNA) molecules are approximately 80 nucleotides in length. Their secondary structure includes four short double-helical elements and three loops (D, anti-codon, and T loops). Further hydrogen bonds mediate the characteristic L-shaped molecular structure. tRNAs have two regions of fundamental functional importance: the anti-codon, which is responsible for specific mRNA codon recognition, and the 3' end, to which the tRNAs corresponding amino acid is attached (by aminoacyl-tRNA synthetases). tRNAs cope with the degeneracy of the genetic code in two manners: having more than one tRNA (with a specific anti-codon) for a particular amino acid; and 'wobble' base-pairing, i.e. permitting non-standard base-pairing at the 3rd anti-codon position. Lineage: Eukaryota; Metazoa; Chordata; Mammalia; Macroscelidea; Macroscelididae. The record is from RNAcentral.